AGAGUUGAUCAUGGCUACAGGACGAACGCUGGCGGCAUGCCUAACACAUGCAAGUCGAACGGACAUAACCAAGUUAUAGCGAUAUAAUGCGGGUAUGUUAGUGGCGAACGGGUGAGUAACACGUGAGCAACCUGCCCUGUACAACGGGAUAACAGUUGGAAACGACUGCUAAUACGGUAUAAGACCACACUGCGGCAUCGCAGAGGGGUAAAAGUGAAUUAGCGGUACAGGAUGGGCUCGCGUCCAAUUAGCUAGUUGGUGAGGUAACGGCUCACAAAGGCGACGAUUGGUAGCCGACCUGAGAGGGUGAUCGGCCACACUGGAACUGAGACACGGUCCAGACUCCUACGGGAGGCAGCAGUGGGGAAUAUUGGGCAAUGGAGGAAAAACCUCUUACCCAGCAAUGCCGCGUGAAGGAAGAAGGUCUUCGGAUUGUAAACUUCUUUUAUUGGGGACGAAUAAAUGACGGUACCCGAUGAAUAAGCCCCGGCUAACUAUGUGCCAGCAGCAGC
Molecule: ribosomal RNA, 512 nt
Filed under: uncultured bacterium
Lineage: Bacteria
Description: bacterial SSU rRNA
Rfam family: Bacterial small subunit ribosomal RNA
Source: RNAcentral